This 373-nucleotide ribosomal RNA is filed under the name Betta macrostoma (spotfin betta). RNAcentral describes it as "partial 12S ribosomal RNA". It matches the Rfam family "Bacterial small subunit ribosomal RNA", at positions 803 to 1390 of the family's 1533-position model. The record is from RNAcentral. Lineage: Eukaryota; Metazoa; Chordata; Actinopteri; Anabantiformes; Osphronemidae.
UAAACAUUGAUAUUUACACCAACAUUCCGCCAGGGAACUAUGAGUAUUUACUUGAAACCCAAAGGACUUGGCGGGGCUUAACAUCCCUCUAGAGGAGCCUGUUCUAGAACCGAUAAUCCUCGUUCAACCUCACCUUUUUUUGCCCUCAGCCUAUAUACCGCCGUCGUCAGCCUACCUUAUGAAAGACAAGUAGUGAGCAAAAAUGGCACAGCCUAAAACGUCAGGUCGAGGUGUAGCUUAUAAAAAGGGAAGAUAUGGGCUACAUUCUCUAUGUAUAGAGAACACGGACAAUACAUUGAAACAUGUAUUCGAAGGAGGAUUUAGUAGUAAGUAGAAAUUAGAAUGUUCAACUGAAUUAUAGGCUCGAAAGCAC